RNAcentral lists this ribosomal RNA (207 nucleotides) under uncultured bacterium. Its description in RNAcentral is "partial 16S ribosomal RNA". It matches the Rfam family "Bacterial small subunit ribosomal RNA", at positions 568 to 774 of the family's 1533-position model. The record is from RNAcentral.
UGCGUAGGCGGUUUGGUAAGUUGGAUGUGAAAUACCCGGGCUUAACUUGGGGGCUGCAUCCAAUACUGUCGGACUUGAGUGCAGGAGAGGAAAGCGGAAUUCCUAGUGUAGCGGUGAAAUGCGUAGAUAUUAGGAGGAACACCAGUGGCGAAGGCGGCUCACUGGACUGUAACUGACACUGAGGCUCGAAAGCGCGGGUAGCAAACA